Molecule: ribosomal RNA, 253 nt
Filed under: uncultured bacterium
Lineage: Bacteria
Description: partial 16S ribosomal RNA
Rfam family: Bacterial small subunit ribosomal RNA
Source: RNAcentral
UACGUAGGGGGCGAGCGUUAUCCGGAAUUACUGGGCGUAAAGCGCACGUAGGCGGCUUUGUAAGUUAGAGGUGAAAGCCUGGAGCUCAACUCCAGAAUUGCCUUUAAGACUGCAUCGCUUGAAUCCAGGAGAGGUGAGUGGAAUUCCGAGUGUAGAGGUGAAAUUCGUAGAUAUUCGGAAGAACACCAGUGGCGAAGGCGGCUCACUGGACUGGUAUUGACGCUGAGGUGCGAAAGCGUGGGGAGCAAACAGG